AUUGAACGCUGGCGGCAUGCCUUACACAUGCAAGUCGAACGGCAGCACGGGAGCAAUCCUGGUGGCGAGUGGCGAACGGGUGAGUAAUAUAUCGGAACGUGCCCAGUCGUGGGGAUAACGUAGCGAAAGCUACGCUAAUACCGCAUACGAUCUAUGGAUGAAAGCGGGGGAUCGCAAGACCUCGCGCGAUUGGAGCGGCCGAUAUCAGAUUAGGUAGUUGGUGAGGUAAAGGCUCACCAAGCCGACGAUCUGUAGCUGGUCUGAGAGGACGACCAGCCACACUGGGACUGAGACACGGCCCAGACUCCUACGGGAGGCAGCAGUGGGAAUUUUGGACAAUGGGCGCAAGCCUGAUCCAGCAAUGCCGCGUGCAGGAUGGAAGGCCUCGGUGUAAG
This 395-nucleotide ribosomal RNA is filed under the name uncultured bacterium. RNAcentral describes it as "bacterial SSU rRNA". It matches the Rfam family "Bacterial small subunit ribosomal RNA", at positions 30 to 429 of the family's 1533-position model. The record is from RNAcentral.